AGUCGAACGAGAUUUGGGACUUCGGUUCCAAUGAAAGUGGCGCACGGGUGCGUAACACGUAUGCAACCUACCUUAUACAGGGGGAUAGCCCGGGGAAACCCGGAUUAAUACCCCAUGGUAUAGACGAAUCGCAUGAUUUGUUUAUUAAAGAUUUAUCGGUAUAAGAUGGGCAUGCGUCUGAUUAGCUAGUUGGCGGUGUAACGGACCACCAAGGCUACGAUCAGUAGGGGUUCUGAGAGGAAGGUCCCCCACACUGGCACUGAGAUACGGGCCAGACUCCUACGGGAGGCAGCAGUAGGGAAUAUUGGGCAAUGGACGAGAGUCUGACCCAGCCAUGCCGCGUGCAGGAAGACGGCCUAUUGGGUUGUAAACUGCUUUUAUACGGGAAGAAAAGGCCCAUGCGUGGGACAUUGCCGGUACCGUAUGAAUAAGCACCGGCUAACUCCGUGCCAGCAGCCGCGGUAAUACGGAGGGUGCAAGCGUUGUCCGGAUUUAUUGGGUUUAAAGGGUGCGUAGGCGGCUGAUUAAGUCAGCGGUGAAAGACUUCGGCUCAACCGGAGCAGUGCCGUUGAUACUGGUUAGCUUGAGUAUUGGAGGGGUACAUGGAAUUGAUGGUGUAGCGGUGAAAUGCAUAGAUACCAUCAGGAACACCGAUAGCGAAGGCAUUGUACUGGCCAAUAACUGACGCUGAUGCACGAAAGCAUGGGUAGCGAACAGGAUU
RNAcentral lists this ribosomal RNA (721 nucleotides) under Algoriphagus faecimaris. RNAcentral describes it as "bacterial SSU rRNA". It matches the Rfam family "Bacterial small subunit ribosomal RNA", at positions 60 to 779 of the family's 1533-position model. Lineage: Bacteria; Pseudomonadati; Bacteroidota; Cytophagia; Cytophagales; Cyclobacteriaceae. The record is from RNAcentral.